Non-coding RNA from Urocitellus parryii (Arctic ground squirrel), 498 nucleotides. Lineage: Eukaryota; Metazoa; Chordata; Mammalia; Rodentia; Sciuridae. The record is from RefSeq and is a predicted model, not a curated record.
AUGUGGUGCUGAGGAUCGAACCCGGGCUGCACGCAUGCCAGGAUUUGGAGGAAUUAAUCCUUCCAUUGCUAUCUCAAAAGGUGAUCUGGACAGUGGAACAGAGACCUCUCAAUCAGGGGUUGCAAUUGCAAAUGCCUGCAGGAACCACAUGGGGUAAAUGUGUGAGAUGGUUCUGGUAUUCAUUCUCCUUUUUCUUGAAGCACUAUCUUUUGUUAUUUUUUUUUUUUUUCAUUUUCUUUUUUAUCUACCUUUGAUAGAGAUGUUAGAAGAAAGUUUAUUGUGAAAUAUAACAAAUGUGAUGGUAAGGGCAACUUAUGCUUCUAAGAGGAUGGGGAGUGUUUGGGAUUGUGGUUAUUAACUGGAACAUUCACCAUUCAUCUAAAGGGGGGGGACGGUUUGUUGAUACUUGGGCCUAGGGAUGCCAGGAUUUCUGGCUCUUUAUAAGAACAAUCUUGGGCUGGGGAUGUGGCUCAAGCGGUAGUGUGCUCGCCUGGCAUG